AAACUAACACCACUGUCUUCUUUCUCUAUCUAGGGUUAGAUCUCCGAUUAUACAACUAGACAACCACCACCAUGGAGGGCUAGGAUCUAACUACCAAGUCAGCGCUCUACCCAUAUCACUCUGCUAACAAUUAGUAUCUUGGCCAGGAGAAGAGAGCGAUGGCGAUGGCGGUGACGGUAUGGUCAUGGUAGUGAUGUCUCCUACGAUGGUUCGAGUAUGUGCUUCACUAACAAUUUACAGGGUUUCCGGUGGUGUUCAGAUACUACAGUGAUUGACGAACUACUGCGCAAUUAGCUAGCGUUUCAUUGGACUUCCAGCAAGCCGAUUACGACAUUAAUCAGCUAUGGCCGAGAAGGUAGUGGUGAGACGAUUCACCUCUCCGACAGAUUAUAGUUAUGGUUGGUGGGUAUCAUUUCAAGUCUUAAUGGUUGAGUUCACAAUUGGUUGAUUGGGAGCUAAGAUGUCUUGAAGUUAUAUAUAUCUACUGGAAUAUUGUAUUGGGAUUAGCUUCAGUUUACAUUUGUUAUGUUUUGAUUGUGCGGGGGAAGCCUUUGAAGAACAGUGGGAAUCAAGUUUGCCACAUAUGUGGGGAAAAUGCUAAUAGCACAGAGAAAGAAAAAGUGUUUAUACAUGUGAUGUAUGUGCAUUCCCGUUUAUGCAUGUGAUGUAUGUGCAUUCCCAGUUUGCAGGUUGUGCUAUGAGUAUGAGCGCAAGGAUGACAAUCAGUCUUGUCAUCAAUGCAAAACUAGAUACAGGUGACAAAAAGGUUUCAUUCACUUCAAAGCCAGCUUAUACCAAUCUCUUUGCUAAUUUACUAUGUAUAUAUUGUAGGGUUAUGUGCAUCUAUUGUUUAUAAAC
This 858-nucleotide long non-coding RNA is filed under the name Helianthus annuus (common sunflower). Lineage: Eukaryota; Viridiplantae; Streptophyta; Magnoliopsida; Asterales; Asteraceae. The record is from RNAcentral.